UACGGGGGGGGCAAGCGUUGUUCGGAAUUACUGGGCGUAAAGGGUGCGUAGGCGGCUUGUCGCGUCGGGAGUGAAAGCCCGCUGCUUAACGGCGGGUUUGCUUUCGAUACGGGCUGGCUAGAGUGUGGUAGGGGAGAUCGGAAUUCCUGGUGUAGCGGUGAAAUGCGCAGAUAUCAGGAGGAACACCGGUGGCGAAGGCGGAUCUCUGGGCCAUUACUGACGCUGAGGAGCGAAAGCGUAGGGAGCGAACAGG
RNAcentral lists this ribosomal RNA (253 nucleotides) under uncultured bacterium. RNAcentral's name for it is "partial 16S ribosomal RNA". It matches the Rfam family "Bacterial small subunit ribosomal RNA", at positions 524 to 776 of the family's 1533-position model. The record is from RNAcentral.